Long non-coding RNA from Vombatus ursinus (common wombat), 410 nucleotides. RefSeq lists it as uncharacterized. Lineage: Eukaryota; Metazoa; Chordata; Mammalia; Diprotodontia; Vombatidae. The record is from RefSeq and is a predicted model, not a curated record. The transcript is spliced from 3 exons.
CCGGCAUUCGCGGAAGUGGGGAGUAAUUUCUCGCCGGGGAAAAAUUAUCCAAGUUCUCUCUGCCGACUGAGGGAAACCGAGAUCUGGAAAGGUUGUGACUUGACCAAGAUCACAAAGACAGCAGAUGGUGGAACUGAGAUUUUACCCUACAUGCUCUGAUUCCUGUCCAGCACUGGACCAAUGUGCAUUUGCUUCAUAUGGAGGACACCUGUGUAUGUUUGGAAGCAGCUGGAAUUGAGCCAUUCUCUUCAGUGUGAGGGAUUGCAUCAGCCCCUAUUACAUAUGUCUAGGGAAUCAGAGAUAGAAGAUGAGAGGAUGAAGGAUUAGGAAUGAGGUGACAAGAUAUAGGGUGAAAGGAGGGAAUAUUGGGGAAUAGGGGUUAAGUUAUUAUCCAAAGAGUCUAUAGGUGA